GAGAGAGAGAGAGAGGAGAUACCUUGUUGGACCCAAAGCUCCGGGGCGCCUGCAGAGGGACGGGGUUCCUGGGGAAGAAGCCAUCGGGGUAGAGGAGGGCGAACACACAUCCCACCAGAACUCCGACCCCAAUCGCGACCGCGAUCCGUGAUCCGCGCGACCAGGGGACGGACGAGCCGCUUCCCCUCAUCAAAGGCGCCCCUCUGUUGCCCAUCGUCGCACCUCCUCCAGAUCAGUAACGGAGGAGCGACAGACCGACCGAACAGAUCGAAACCUAGCCACAAAAUCCAAGAAGGGGGAGAUGAGCAGAGGACCCCGCCUCAGGAACCCUAGAAAUCUCUCUCCCCCGCAAGGAGAGAAAUCUGACCGGAGAAGAUCAAGAGCCGCGUAGGUGGGAGGUCGGAGAGAGGGAGAGGGAGAGAGAGAGAGAGAGAGACAGCGACCCCGGGGCAGUUGAAGUCGGAAUUCGAAGGAUUUAAUGUCUUGAUAGGAGGAUGGAAAGUCAAAGGUCAUGCCAUUCAUAACGCUUAAAGUUCAUAGCAACUGUUGAAACAUAAUAAUCUCCCCCCCAUAUGCCGACCCGGUGCGUAUCCAUUUUUAAUAACGACCCAUACGUUGAUGAGAU
This 625-nucleotide long non-coding RNA is filed under the name Spirodela polyrhiza (greater duckweed). RNAcentral's name for it is "long non-coding RNA (SPOL_LNC000122)". The record is from RNAcentral. Lineage: Eukaryota; Viridiplantae; Streptophyta; Magnoliopsida; Alismatales; Araceae.